This 407-nucleotide ribosomal RNA is filed under the name Atheris nitschei. RNAcentral's name for it is "partial 12S ribosomal RNA". Lineage: Eukaryota; Metazoa; Chordata; Lepidosauria; Squamata; Viperidae. The record is from RNAcentral.
ACCCAACUAUACAUACAAUUAAGAUACCAAUUGUUCGCCAAACAACUACGAGUAGUAACUUAAAACUUAAAAGACUUGACGGUGCUUCAUCACAACCUAGAGGAGCCUGUCUAAUAACCGAUAACCCACGAUUAACCCAACCUACUCUUGCCAACAGUCUAUAUACCACCGUCGCAAGCUUACCUUAUAAAAGAAACAAAGUGAGCUAAACAGUACAACACUAAAACGACAGGUCGAGGUGUAACUCAUGAAUAGGUAAAGAUGGGCUACAUUCUCUACCAGAGAAUACGAAUAAUACUAUGAACAUAGUAAUUGAAGGAGGAUUUAGCAGUAAGAUAGGAAUAAAACGCCUAACUGAAUAUAACGCAAUGAAGUGCGUACACACCGCCCGUCACCCCUGCCUACAU